Molecule: transfer RNA, 73 nt
Filed under: Saprospiraceae bacterium
Lineage: Bacteria; Pseudomonadati; Bacteroidota; Saprospiria; Saprospirales; Saprospiraceae
Description: tRNA-Gly
Rfam family: tRNA
About the family: Transfer RNA (tRNA) molecules are approximately 80 nucleotides in length. Their secondary structure includes four short double-helical elements and three loops (D, anti-codon, and T loops).
Source: RNAcentral
GCGGAAGUAGCUCAGUUGGUAGAGCACAACCUUGCCAAGGUUGGGGUCGCGGGUUCGAAUCCCGUCUCGCGCU